RNAcentral lists this unclassified non-coding RNA (427 nucleotides) under Escherichia coli. RNAcentral's name for it is "partial 16S-23S ribosomal RNA intergenic spacer". The stretch from base 271 to 427 matches the Rfam family "Bacterial large subunit ribosomal RNA", at positions 1 to 158 of the family's 2925-position model. The record is from RNAcentral. Lineage: Bacteria; Pseudomonadati; Pseudomonadota; Gammaproteobacteria; Enterobacterales; Enterobacteriaceae.
CAAUUUUCGUGUCCCCUUCGUCUAGAGGCCCAGGACACCGCCCUUUCACGGCGGUAACAGGGGUUCGAAUCCCCUAGGGGACGCCACUUGCUGGUUUGUGAGUGAAAGUCGCCGACCUCAAUAUCUCAAAACAGACUGUUAAGUCUUGUUUGAUAUAUUUGCUCUUUAAAAAUCUGGAUCAAGCUGAAAAUUGAAACACUGAACAAUGAAAGUUGUUCGUGAGUCUCUCAAAUUUUCGCAACUCUGAAGUGAAACAUCUUCGGGUUGUGAGGUUAAGCGACUAAGCGUACACGGUGGAUGCCCUGGCAGUCAGAGGCGAUGAAGGACGUGCUAAUCUGCGAUAAGCGUCGGUAAGGUGAUAUGAACCGUUAUAACCGGCGAUUUCCGAAUGGGGAAACCCAGUGUGUUUCGACACACUAUCAUUAAC